Molecule: ribosomal RNA, 158 nt
Filed under: Somion delectans
Lineage: Eukaryota; Fungi; Basidiomycota; Agaricomycetes; Polyporales; Cerrenaceae
Description: 5.8S ribosomal RNA
Rfam family: 5.8S ribosomal RNA
About the family: 5.8S ribosomal RNA (5.8S rRNA) is a component of the large subunit of the eukaryotic ribosome.
Source: RNAcentral
CAACUUUCAGCAACGGAUCUCUUGGCUCUCGCAUCGAUGAAGAACGCAGCGAAAUGCGAUAAGUAAUGUGAAUUGCAGAAUUCAGUGAAUCAUCGAAUCUUUGAACGCACCUUGCGCCCUUUGGUAUUCCGAAGGGCAUGCCUGUUUGAGUGUCAUGG